Molecule: long non-coding RNA, 241 nt
Organism: Corapipo altera (White-ruffed manakin)
Lineage: Eukaryota; Metazoa; Chordata; Aves; Passeriformes; Pipridae
Exons: 2
Source: RefSeq, a predicted model, not a curated record
CCUGAGCUCCUCAUAUCCCCAAAGUGCCACCUCCCAGUGCCACCCUGCCCCCAAAGUGUCCCUGAAGUGCCACCACCCCCCAAAAGUGUCCCCAAAAUGCCACCACCCCCCUGAGCUCAUCAUGUCCCCAAAGUGCCACCUCCCAGUGUCACCCUGUCCCCAAAGUGUCCCCGAGGUGCCACCCCCCCCCCCAAAAUUGUCCCCGGAGCGUCCCCAGCUCAAUAAAGUGGCAGCGCCGGCA